CAAAGGCCCCAAAGGAAGCCACGGCUAACUCUGUGCCAGCAGCCGCGGUAAUACAGAGGUGGCAAGCGUUGUUCGGUAUUAUUGGGCGUAAAGAGCACGUAGGUGGUUCUGUAAGUCAGAUGUGAAAGCCUUCUGUUCAAAGGAAGAACGGCAUCUGAAACUACAGACCUUGAGUGUAGGAGGGGAGAGUGGAACUUCUGGUGGAGCGGUGAAAUGCGUAGAUAUCAGAAGGAACGUCGGCGGCGAAAGCGACUCUCUGGCCUAUUACUGACACUGAGUGUGCGAAAGUUAGGGGAGCAAACGGGAUUAGAUACCCCGGUAGUCCUAACUGUAAG
RNAcentral lists this ribosomal RNA (335 nucleotides) under uncultured Planctomycetales bacterium. RNAcentral describes it as "bacterial SSU rRNA". It matches the Rfam family "Bacterial small subunit ribosomal RNA", at positions 473 to 806 of the family's 1533-position model. The record is from RNAcentral. Lineage: Bacteria; Pseudomonadati; Planctomycetota; Planctomycetia; Planctomycetales.